Molecule: signal recognition particle RNA, 97 nt
Filed under: Campylobacteraceae bacterium
Lineage: Bacteria; Pseudomonadati; Campylobacterota; Epsilonproteobacteria; Campylobacterales; Campylobacteraceae
Description: signal recognition particle sRNA small type
Rfam family: Bacterial small signal recognition particle RNA
About the family: The signal recognition particle (SRP) is a universally conserved ribonucleoprotein involved in the co-translational targeting of proteins to membranes.
Source: RNAcentral
UCCUUAGACCUGUGCAAUGCCCGUUUUAGCAACGCUUCAGGGUGGGAACACAGCAGAGCACUGGAACGGUGUGUGUGCCGCAGAUAUCUGAGGAGAG